UGGAGUGGUUGAAAAUGAGUUUUAAUGACUCCAACCUAAGUGUAUGUAAACUUCCGACUUCAACUGUAAUUAGGCACGCCUUUCCAUUCUUUUGUUGUGCAUAUGGCGGAAGUGUGCGUGACCACUCAAAUGGAGGGGCAAGGGGAAGGAGUGAUUUGGCAUUCAGCUCAUGUCAUCAGAAGGCCUCUGAUUUGUCAUUUGACCCAGGCCUUCUUCAAAGACUGAAAUGAGGAUGCAUUGGUCUGUCUAGGAGCAGCGGUAUGAAAUGUGCGUAGAUAGAAAGCAAUUCAACCUCUACAUACAUGAUCAAUAUACACAUACGGAAAAUGAUACAGAGACAUACAGUGGUGUAUGUGUGAUUUUACAUUUUUCUCACGUUAUAUAUUUUCAUUUGAAACUUUGGACAUUUUUGAGAUCUCCUCAAGGUCGACCGAAGUUGAACUGGCUGGAAAGGAGAGCUUCUCUGACAUUUUGUUGAGUUUGUAUUCAUUUUCUUCACCAUGAAAGCAGGGAACGGACUUCUCUUCCAUGUUUUCACUUUAACACUACCUGUGGAUGUCUGGGCUGAUGGCCUUGCCAAAGGACUAGUGAAACGGCCUCGCCCAGAUUCUGAGAAUAUAUAUAAAUAUGUAUAUCUCUAACUAAAUAUGAAUAUAUCUUCUGAAUAAAUCUUCAUAUUGAAGGUGACGUGUAUGAAUAUGUAUGCACAAAACUCUCUCUGCUUGCCUUUUUGGCAUAGAUGACGUUUUUGUGGACUGGAUUGUGAUGGAGAUGGUCAUAUACUGUAGAUUCUCUACAGCGCCACCUAGCCCUCUGGAGGACAAAACAUAAAGACACCUUUUUGUUUCUUUCCCCAAUGCUGAGGGGUCACAUGGACAAUCCGGAAUGAAUUUUGACCUGGAAGUAAAUGUACAAAGGACCAUGUACAAAUGACUCUUUCUGUAGAUGUGUAUAAAACAACUUUAGGGAUAAAAAAAAAAGUAACAAAACGUCCAUUCUCUGGAGAGCCCAUGUUAAAUGUAAGUGUAUUCAUGCCAUAUCUUCCUGGUGAGCACUUACUUGUACAGACUCUGUAUUUUUCUUUAUUUCCUCUUGUUUGUGUUGGAGCGAUUGGAUCCAUACAGAAUGGGAAGGAGAGUGGAUAGUGUCUCGUCUGCUGGCCAAGGUCUACGAUAUUGGACACACACAUAAACAAAAACACACACACACCACACAGCAGACCCAGCAUUGCUCAGGACAGCCAAUAAUGACGAAGACAGCAGGACAGGGACAAUGACCUCACUUUGCGGUACACACAGGAUAUAGGAACCAAAUGUGUUUGUGUGUGUGUUUGAUUUCCUUUGUGUCUCUCUCUGUAUAGCUACCACUUAUAUAUUGUGAUGACGAGUAUGUGUCCGAGUUUGUAAGCAGUAACUUUCUGAGAACUAUUGUACAAAAAAUGCACUCAAUAAACGCCUUGGAAAAAGAGUCAA
This is a long non-coding RNA of Coregonus clupeaformis (lake whitefish), 1472 nucleotides long. RefSeq lists it as uncharacterized. The transcript has 2 exons. Lineage: Eukaryota; Metazoa; Chordata; Actinopteri; Salmoniformes; Salmonidae. The record is from RefSeq and is a predicted model, not a curated record.